UGGGACAAGCCCUGGAAACGGGGUCUAAUACCGGAUACUGAUCCUCGCAGGCAUCUGCGAGGUUCGAAAGCUCCGGCGGUGCAGGAUGAGCCCGCGGCCUAUCAGCUAGUUGGUGAGGUAACGGCUCACCAAGGCGACGACGGGUAGCCGGCCUGAGAGGGCGACCGGCCACACUGGGACUGAGACACGGCCCAGACUCCUACGGGAGGCAGCAGUGGGGAAUAUUGCACAAUGGGCGAAAGCCUGAUGCAGCGACGCCGCGUGAGGGAUGACGGCCUUCGGGUUGUAAACCUCUUUCAGCAGGGAAGAAGCGAAAGUGACGGUACCUGCAGAAGAAGCGCCGGCUAACUACGUGCCAGCAGCCGCGGUAAUACGUAGGGCGCAAGCGUUGUCCGGAAUUAUUGGGCGUAAAGAGCUCGUAGGCGGCUUGUCACGUCGGUU
RNAcentral lists this ribosomal RNA (441 nucleotides) under Streptomyces sp. SCAU5036. Its description in RNAcentral is "bacterial SSU rRNA". It matches the Rfam family "Bacterial small subunit ribosomal RNA", at positions 139 to 593 of the family's 1533-position model. Lineage: Bacteria; Bacillati; Actinomycetota; Actinomycetes; Kitasatosporales; Streptomycetaceae. The record is from RNAcentral.